RNAcentral lists this long non-coding RNA (7835 nucleotides) under Sorghum bicolor (sorghum). RNAcentral describes it as "long non-coding RNA (SBIC_LNC002109)". The record is from RNAcentral. Lineage: Eukaryota; Viridiplantae; Streptophyta; Magnoliopsida; Poales; Poaceae.
AUGUGUGGAAAAUCAAAGAAUGAAAGCUUGGUGCUAUAACCAACAGCAGGGAAAGAAAGUGAAAUGCAACUUGAGAAUAUUUUAAAAGGCCUAGGCCAGGGGUGCCCAAUUUCAGAUCGAGUCCAAAAGCAUUGCGAGUCAGGGAAGGCAAAGUGAUAUCGGGGACGAGCAGACGGUGGAGGCGACGGUCUUAGGGCGGCGAGUCCCCGGCCAACUCCGGCGAGCAGAAGCCCCUCCUGGCCAAUCUAAGUAGGGAUUGGGCUUCGGGACCGGCUGCUGAUCUGAUUGCCUGGUGAGUUUUCUCGCUUCGACUUUAGGCUUGCUCGGGUUCCCUCAUGGCGGGGGGGAGUGCUAGGGAUUGCGCUCUGUGUGGAGGAUUUGCAGCAGUUUUCUGCCCCGCUGAUAAUGCUCUGUUCUGUGUGAUGUGUGAUAAGAAAAUUCAUGAGGCAAAUGUUGUGGCUAGCCGGCAUGAUCGCCAAUUUGUUUCUCCAUUUCGCCCUAAUCAGAUAGAACAGAGUGUUACUAAAGGGAGUGAAUGGGGAAAUUUAGUGAUCAAGGGUGAUCAGGCUUGCUCUAUUGAGAAUAGCUUAUCCUGUGGAAGUCAUCUGGAGUUGAUAACGAAUGCAGGGGAUAGGUUGGGUACAGACUGGCCUUCUCUCUGCAGGAAGGAUCAGCAGGAGGAAAGUCUCUCUGUCAGCUCCUCAAUUAACUCUGUACCCAAGGAGGGUCGCAAACAGUUUAACAGGAAUAAACCUGCUUCAACCUGGGAAGGAAUUAGUUCUCAGAGGCAACGAGAGAAAUGGGAGAAUGAGAUUAGGAAGGAACUUUUCAUAUCUGAAGCCCAACGUUUUGAGAAAGAGUUGGAGGAAUUGGAGGGAGCUAGCCAGAGAUUAGAGAAGACAAUGGAAAAAGUUAUGAAUAUUCAAAAACCUGAUGACAGGGAAAGGGUUCCUAUUGAGGCCCAAGGUUUGGAAAGGACCAGGGAAGGUUGCCCAACUACUCUUGGGCUGUCACACAAUAGUAUACAUGCCCACUCCUGGAAACCUAUUGGGCCAAGAUGGAUAUGGAUAUCCAAAAGCAGCAGGGCACUAGGGUUUGGCUAUCCUGCGACUAAAAAAGAGAUUUUGUGUUUUGGUCACUUUGCCCGUCGCGUCAAACGUCUGAGUCCCCCAGCUCCACUUUCCCAAUCCUUUGCCGAAAUUGUCAAGGGUGAGAUGGCAUGGAGAGACCAGGAUCAGCGUUCGUGGAAGCGUCGGUCAGAAGAUUGGAUGGACCAAGAUGACUUGCUGGGAGAAGAGUUUCUUCGUGAGCAAGAUCUAAGGACAAAGCUCUUGCGUGGAUCCAGUGGGGAAGGCUCUCAUCGCCAGAAUCAAGGAGGUAAUACAUACUCUAGAAGCACUUAUGGGGGUGGGGAUCGUGGAGGGGAUGGUCGUGGUCGUGAUCACAAACCGCCGGAUGCGAAUCAGCAGGGGGGACGAGGUUUUGCUCAUGGGCAGGCUGUGGGAAGAGAGCUGAAUAGAGUACCUCGUGCACUUGGGGAGGAUCUGGGAAAAGGCUCCCAAAAUAUCAGAGGGGGACAGGGAAAUCAAGGGUAUUGGAGGCCUAAGGGCCCUUCCAAAGAGAAGAUACCCCAUCUGGAAGGCAAGGCUUUGGAGAUUAAGUGCUUUAGAUGCUUGGGUACAGGUCACCAUCAAUCGGAGUGCACUAAUGAGCCAGUGUGCUACAAGUGCAAGCAGAAAGGUCAUAUGGCAGUAGAUUGUGUGAUGACAAAAGGUAAAAUUCAGAUGUUUGGAUUUGGGAUUCCAAGUAAAGGUUUCUAUGCUAUUGAGAUUCCUGAACCAAGGGUACACCAGAUUCAGACUGCUGGAAUUGUGAUAGUUCUGGAAGGAGAUGCAGAUGAGGAUAAGCUGAAUGAAGAACUGAGGUUAGUGGUGAAUGACAAAUGGGAUUUUAAGCCCAGGAUGAUGACUAGGAAUGAAUUCUUGGUGGUGUUUCCAGACAAAGGUACUUUAGAAACUUUCUCAAGAUUUGCUGGUUUUGAUCUCUCGAUUUACAAUCUGAAAGUUAAGAUUGUAAAGUCAAAUGUCGACCCCAACACAUCAUCUGUGUUACAAACAUGCUGGGUAAGGAUCUCAAACAUUCCCCCAAUUGCUAGGGAGGAAUCGAUUGUGAGAGAGUUGGCUUCUCUGGUUGGGCAGCCUGUGGUAGUUGAUGAGUUAAGCCUGAUUAGAGAGGAACCUGUGAGAGUGAAGGUGAAUUGUAGAGAUCCGCUGGCUAUUAGAUGUGUGAUUGAGAUUUUCUUCAAUAAAAUGGGCCAUGAAGUAAAAUUUGUUUCAGAAGGAAGUCUUGGGAUGAAUUCAGAUGCUAGAGGAAACCUGCCUGGGUCAGGGAGCAAAGAUGAUAAGUCUGGGAAAAAAGAUCAGGGAGAUGCAGGCAAUUCCAAGAACAAAAAGAAAAGCGAUAAGUUUGACAGAUUUGGAAAUGUUGACAAAGAACAAGAUUCAAGCUAUGGGGGAAGCCAAGAUGCUAUGGAACAAGAUGACUUAGAACAAAUGCAGAAUCUUCCAAUUUCAGCAUAUCAUCCAAAUUGUGGGGUGGUGAAGGUGACCACUCUUAUCAAGGAUGAUUUGGGGGACCAACAUGCUUGGGCUCCAGCUGAUGUCAUGACUAAGCAGAGUGCUAUCUCUGAACAGCUGGAAGGUCUUACUAAGGAUGCAUAUGUGAUGCAAAAUCAGGAGGAGAAACUAAAGAGUAUUGGGGCAAGUGAGGAACAAGUGAUACAGAAGAAGGAUAUGUGUGAUUUUCAAUUCUCUGUCCAGGGAGGUAUGGAUACAUAUUUGAUGGAUAAAAGGAAACAAUCUGAGUUGAUCUCUACUGAAUAUGUGGUUGAUGGGGAUGGAGAGUCUUUGGAUAACAUUUCACAACCCAAUCAUGCAAAUGAAAGCCCACAAAGUUAUGCAUUGGGGGAAAACGUUGGUGAUUCCAACCAAGGAAGUAAACUGAUAUCAGGGUUAUUAGAUGAUGAUGAAGCAGAAGAAUUGGGGAUUAUCACUCAGGAAUCAGAGGUAGAAUUUGGGGACAUGGAGUCCUGUCAUGAUGAUGAUAUGGCUGAAAUACUGGAGCAAACCUGGAUUAGCUCUUCGAAGAAGAAAGCUAAGAAGAAGACAGGAGGCAAGGUGGUGAUUGCAACAAGAGUGAGCAACAGGAUUCAGCAAGAUGGAAGAUCCAUGCUGGAGAAAGCUAUGCAACGGGCACAGAGCAGGGAUGAUGUAUCAAAAGGUAUUUCUGAAUCUAAUCAAUUUUUGGUAUUAAACAAUUUAAGCAAUGAUUACAUCCAAGAUGUAGCUUCGGCUCUUGAUCUUGAUAUUGUUAAUGUUGAUACCCAAAUUGAGGUUUUUAAGGCCGAGGAAAAGGUUAGAGCAGCGUUAGCAGAGGCCAAUUACAAGGAGUACUUGGAAUCUGUUAAUAAGAGAACUGCCCCUCAAGGAGAGGAGGCCAUUCAAGAAUAUAGUUUGAAUGUUAUAGACAAUACAGCAAGAGGGUUUGCAGUAGAGUCUAACAAUGAAACAGUUGUAGUAGCCCCUAGGAAGAGGGGAAGACCUAAAAAGUUAUCUAAAUGAGGUUUCUUUUCUGGAAUAUCAGGGGGAUAGGAAAGAGUAGUAGGAAAAGACAGGUUCGAGAGUUUAUUGAAGAACAUAACCUGCAAGUGGUAGGGAUACAGGAGACAAUCAAAGAGUCUUUUUCAGAUGGAGAUCUUCUGGAGUUAGCUGGGAACAAGGUGUUCUCUUGGAAAUGGUCUGCUGCUAAAGGAAAAUCUGGAGGUAUUUUGAUGGGGGUCAAUCAGGAGAAGUUAGAAAUGGAAGCUUGUGAUAUUCUGGAGUAUUGUGUGGUGAUGACUAUUAGAAAUAGAUUUUCUAAUUUUAGAUGGGUUAUGGUAACUGUAUAUGGUCCAGUACAGCAUGAAUAUUCAGGAGACUUUCUUGCGGAAUUAGAUUCAGUUUGCCAGCAAACAGUGUUACCCAUUAUCAUUGGGGGGGACUUUAAUUUGAUAAGAGAAGAAUCUGACAAGAACUCUGAUAAUGUCAAUUUUCAUUUAAUGGAUCAGUUUAAUACUUUCAUAGGGGAUCAUCAGUUAAGGGAACUCAAAAGAUCUGGGCAGAGGUAUACCUGGACUAACAAGCAGAGUAAACCAAUCAUGGUUAAUCUGGACAGAGUGCUUUUCUCUUCUGGUUGGGAGGAGAAGUAUCCUUUAUCUCUCUCUUGGUGUUUAACCAGAGUAGGGUCAGAUCAUUCUCCAGUCAUUGUGGAUGAUGGGGAGAGUUUGACUACUAGGCCUAGAUAUUUCUUUUUUGAUCAGCAAUGGGUGCUAGUGGAAGGUUUUAGAGAGUUAUCUACCUGUAUUUGGAGAGAAUCUGAGGCAAGGUGCCCAGAAACUUGUUAUUCCCUAGAUUCAUGGCAUGGCUGCAUGGUGUGGCUAAGAACCAAAUUAAAAGGUUGGAAUAUUAGGAGAAUAGGUGAACAGAAAAAGAAGAGAAAUGAGCUUAUGGUUGAACUAUCUAUUAUAGAUUCUCAGGCUGAAGUAAGGGAACUCAGCCAGGAGGAAUGGUUGCAUAGAUACAAUAUAGAAAAACAGAUGGAGAUUUUAUAUGCGGAAGAGGAAUUAUAUUGGAGGCAAAGAAUGGGUAAACAUUGGUUGCAGGCUGGUGACUCAAAUACUAAAUUUUUCCAUCAAUUUGUAAAUGGGAGAAGAAGAAAAAGUACUAUUAUACAACUGGAAACUGAUCAUGGGGUGAUCAAAACUCAAGAGGAGAUUAUGGACCAUGCUGUUCAGUUCUACAAAAAAUUGUUUGGACCUGUGGAUCAAAGACAUAUCUUCUUAUCUGGUAAUUUCUGGUCUGACGGCAAGAAAGUUAAGGAGGAUGAUAAAGAGAGAUUACUAAAAGAUUUUUCAGAAGAAGAAGUUAAACAUGCCUUUUUUGAUAUGAAAAAGGAUGCUGCUCCUGGCCCAAAUGGAUUUGGUGCCUUCUUUUUUCAAACCUUUUGGGAGGUCAUUAAAGAAAGAUAUCUUAAAAUGUUCUUGGACUUCCAUAAGGGUGAGCUAGACAUAAAGAGAUUGAAUUUUGGAGUUAUAACCUUAGUUCCUAAAGUUCAGGAUGCUAGCUGCAUUAAGCAGUAUAGGCCUAUUUGCCUUCUCAAUGUGGACUACAAAGGCUUUACUAAAGUUCUUACAGAGAGGGUGACUCCUGUGGUGAAAGAUGUAAUUGGUAGCAAUCAGACUGGUUUUAUUAAAGGAAGAUGCAUCUUGGAAGGAGUUGCCAUCCUCCAUGAGGUCAUACACUCGUUGAGGAAUGGCAUGAGGAAAGGAAUGAUCCUUAAGAUUGAUUUUGAGAAAGCUUAUGACAGGGUGAGAUGGGAUUUUUUAGAGGAAGUUUUACAUGGAAAAGGCUUCCCUGUGAAAUGGGUCAAUUGGGUCAUGCAAACUGUCAAAGGAGGACAAGUUUGUAUUAAUAUUAAUGGGACAAGGGGUCCCUACUUUAGAACUUUGAGGGGUCUGAGGCAGGGGAUCCUUUAUCUCCUCUUUUAUUCAAUCUAGUAGCUGAUGCUCUGAGCUCAAUGUUAGACAAAGCUGUUGAGAAAAAUCUUAUUGUGGGAGUGCUUGACUCUUUAAUUGAUAAGGGUAUUUCUCAUAUCCAAUAUGCAGAUGACACUAUUAUUAUGACAGAUGGAUCUGAUCAGUCAAUUACAAACCUCAAAAUCCUGCUAUAUUGCUUUGAAUGGCUAUCGGGUUUGAAAAUUAAUUAUCACAAGAGUGAGGUUCUGUUGUUUGGUUAUUCUCAGAUAGAAAAAGAAAGAAAGGCUAACAUGCUAAAUUGUAAACUGGGGGAGUUACCAAUUAAGUAUUUAGGCAUUCCAGUGUCUGACAAGGAGUUAGGCAUAAAUGCUUUCCAAGGGCUUUCUGCUCGCAUGAGUAAAAGACUAGAUCCUUGGAAAGGGAAGUUUAUGACUUCUGGUGGAAAGUUGAUCCUUACAAAUUCUUGUCUGAGUAAUCUGCCAAUGUAUAUGAUGGGGUUUUAUAUGUUGCCCAAGGGGGUACAUAAGAAAAUGGAUGCUAUCAGAGCAAAGUUCUUCUGGCAAGGGGCAGGGGAACAGUCUAAGUAUCAUAUGGCUAAAUGGAUAGCAAUGGCUAGACCGAAAACCCAGGGGGGCCUAGGGAUUAUCAAUACUCUUUUGAUGAAUGAAUGCUUGAUCACAAAAUGGAUCUGGAAGAUUGAUAAGAGGCCCAAUGAACUGUGGUAUAAAAUCUUAGAUGCUAAAUAUAUGAAAGGAAAAGGUUUCCUUGGCUCAUCUUGUCAGGGUGCCUCUCAAUUUUGGAAGGGCCUCCAUAAGGUGAAACACUUGUAUAAUUGGGGUGCUGAAUAUAAGGUGCAUAAGGGGAGUGCUGUUCGUUUCUGGCAUGAUAACUGGUUGGGAGGUCUUCCCUUGAGGAUACAAUAUAGACAUAUUUUUGAAAUCUGUCAAAAUCCAGAAGCUACAGUGAAAAGUAUGUGGAAAGAGAGUGGUUGGGAUAUUCCUCUUAGAAGAAGUCUGCAUGGGGCUGUUCUGGAUGAGUGGAAUGAUUUUCAAGAGGUGCUGCAGGAGGUGAGUUUAGAUGGAUUAGGAGAGGAUGAUGUCAGUUGGGUUCUUGAAAAAUCAAGGAAAUUUACAACUAGAUCGCUUUAUACUUGUCUCACCCAUGGGGGAGUCAGAGAUAAAGUAAACGAGCUAAUUUGGGGGUGUAGAAUGCCUUUAAAAGUUAAAGUUUUCCUUUGGCAAGUUUUCCAUAGGAAAUUACAAACUGCUUCUUCUCUUACAAAACGGGGAUGGCAGGGAAGCCCUCUCUGUUGUAUUUGUCCUGUAUCUGAGACGGUCAAUCAUCUUUUGUUUGGAUGCGUCUUUGCGCAAUACGUUUGGAUUUGCAUAAGGGAUGCUUUUAAUCUUCACACUUUUCCAACGUCGAUUCAUGAUGUAACAUCUCAAUGGGUGCCAAGGAGGCUCGGUAUCUCUAAGAAACUAUGCUUCACACUUUUUGCAGGAGUGACUUGGGCAAUUUGGAAGAAUAGAAACAAGAUGGCCAUCGAGAAACGCUUUCCUAACUCACCUGAUGUUGUGAUUCACUCGGCUAUCAAUCUUCUGCAGACUUGGACGGAUCUACAAAGGGAGAGCGACAGAGCCAAGAUGAAGGAGAUGGUGCAGUCCUUAUCUGACUGGAUGGUGAAGAAAGAUCAUUCUAUCAACUCCCUGUCGGAUGUGAUGGUCAUUUAGCUCUUUGUAUCUUUCUGGGUGGUUGGCUCUGUAGGCUGGUCACUUAGUUAGAUUGUUUUGUUGCUGGUCUGAACUUGUGUGGGUUUUUGCUUCCUUUGAAACUGGUAUCCCCAGUAUGUAAUGACUCUGUUAUUGGCUUUCUUAAAAGCCGAGGUAAUCUCCUUUAAAAAAAAAAGGCCUAGGCCAGGCAGAUACUUAUCAAAACAUACACAACUUGGAAUUUAUUUUUAGGUGUCUUGGUUAGCAGUGGGCAUUGAACUUGCAACUUGUUGUUAGGAGUCUUUGUAAGCAGUGGCGUUAAAUUUAUUUCCUUUCCACGCACUAGUUCUCUGAUGUCUGAUUAACUCACUGAUUUUUUCCCCCUGUGCUCCAUGUUUCCCCUCAUUUGCUUCCUUACUGAUGCUCUGUAAGUAGGUUAAAACAGACUACUGUCAGUGACAUGGACCGAGUUGGAUGCAAGAAACUGCAGCCAGUAGAUGACGAAAAAGGAACAAUUUGUAUGUAUGUUUUUCUAAUAGCAUAGUACACUGACA